GAUGAACGCUAGCGGCAGGCCUAACACAUGCAAGUCGAGGGAGAAGCCCUUUCGGGGGCAGAAACCGGCGCACGGGUGCGUAACGCGUAUGCAACCUACCUUUCACAGGGGGAUAGCCCGAAGAAAUUUGGAUUAAUACCCCAUAAUAUUAUUGGAUGGCAUCAUUUGAUAAUUAAAACUGCGGUGGUGAAAGAUGGGCAUGCGUCCUAUUAGCUAGUUGGAGUGGUAACGGCACCCCAAGGCUACGAUAGGUAGGGGUCCUGAGAGGGAGAUCCCCCACACUGGUACUGAGACAGGGACCAGACUCCUACGGGAGGCAGCAGUGAGGAAGAUUGGUCAAUGGUCGGAAGACUGAACCAGCCAUGCCGCGUGCAGGAAGAAUGCCUUAUGGGUUGUAAACUGCUUUUAUAUGGGAAGAAUAAGGCGUACGUGUACGUUGAUGACGGUACCAUAUGAAUAAGCAUCGGCUAACUCCGUG
This 478-nucleotide ribosomal RNA is filed under the name uncultured bacterium. RNAcentral's name for it is "partial 16S ribosomal RNA". It matches the Rfam family "Bacterial small subunit ribosomal RNA", at positions 28 to 507 of the family's 1533-position model. The record is from RNAcentral.